Molecule: ribosomal RNA, 1343 nt
Filed under: uncultured bacterium
Lineage: Bacteria
Description: 16S ribosomal RNA
Rfam family: Bacterial small subunit ribosomal RNA
Source: RNAcentral
GACGAACGCUGUCGGCGUGCUUAACACAUGCAAGUCGAACGGAAAGGCCCUGCUUUUGUGGGGUGCUCGAGUGGCGAACGGGUGAGUAACACGUGAGUAACCUGCCCUUGACUUUGGGAUAACUUCAGGAAACUGGGGCUAAUACCGGAUAGGAGCUCCUGCUGCAUGGUGGGGGUUGGAAAGUUUCGGCGGUUGGGGAUGGACUCGCGGCUUAUCAGCUUGUUGGUGGGGUAGUGGCUUACCAAGGCUUUGACGGGUAGCCGGCCUGAGAGGGUGACCGGCCACAUUGGGACUGAGAUACGGCCCAGACUCCUACGGGAGGCAGCAGUGGGGAAUAUUGCACAAUGGGCGGAAGCCUGAUGCAGCAACGCCGCGUGCGGGAUGACGGCCUUCGGGUUGUAAACCGCUUUCGCCUGUGACGAAGCGUGAGUGACGGUAAUGGGUAAAGAAGCACCGGCUAACUACGUGCCAGCAGCCGCGGUGAUACGUAGGGUGCGAGCGUUGCCCGGAUUUAUUGGGCGUAAAGGGCUCGUAGGUGGUUGAUCGCGUCGGAAGUGUAAUCUUGGGGCUUAACCCUGAGCGUGCUUUCGAUACGGGUUGACUUGAGGAAGGUAGGGGAGAAUGGAAUUCCUGGUGGAGCGGUGGAAUGCGCAGAUAUCAGGAGGAACACCAGUGGCGAAGGCGGUUCUCUGGGCCUUUCCUGACGCUGAGGAGCGAAAGCGUGGGGAGCGAACAGGCUUAGAUACCCUGGUAGUCCACGCUGUAAACGGUGGGUACUAGGUGUGGGGUCCAUUCCACGGGUUCCGUGCCGUAGCUAACGCUUUAAGUACCCCGCCUGGGGAGUACGGCCGCAAGGCUAAAACUCAAAGGAAUUGACGGGGCCUCGCACAAGCGGCGGAGCAUGCGGAUUAAUUCGAUGCAACGCGUAGAACCUUACCUGGGUUUGACAUGGAUCGGGAGUGCUCAGAGAUGGGUGUGCCUCUUUUGGGGUCGGUUCACAGGUGGUGCAUGCCUGUCGUCAGCUCGUGUCGUGAGAUGUUGGGUUAGGUCCCGCAACGAGCGCAACCCUUGUUCACUGUUGCCAGCACGUUAUGGUGGGGACUCAGUGGAGACCGCCGGGGUCAACUCGGAGGAAGGUGGGGAUGACGUCAAGUCCUCAUGCCCCUUAUGUCCAGGGCUUCACGCAUGCUACAAUGGCUGGUACAGAGAGUGGCGAGCCUGUGAGGGUGAGCGAAUCUCGGAAAGCCGGUCUCAGUUCGGAUUGGGGUCUGCAACUCGACCUCAUGAAGUCGGAGUCGCUAGUAAUCGCAGAUCAGCAACGCUGCGGUGAGUACGUUCCCGGG